CUGCACCUUCUUGGGAACAAACAUAAUCUCUUGGUCGGCGAAACAGCACCCGACUGUAUCUUGUUCUUCGACGGAGGCAGAGUAUCGCACAAUGUCUUAUGCCGCAGAGGAAAUGAAGUGGAUCUCCUGUUUAUUUGGAGAAAUGGGUUUGUCACAACAUGUCACGCCGGAACUAUAUUGUGACAAUCUAUCUGCGUGUUAUCUCACGGCGAAUCCAGUCUUUCACAACAUAACCGAACACUUUGAUAAGACUUCCAUUAUGUUCGAGAAAGAGUAGCAUUGGGAGCCUUGAUCGUGAAACAAGUUCUCGCAUCAGCUCAAAUAGCUGACAUCUUCACGAAGCGCUUGUCUCGCCGACCGUUCUUUGAUCUCCGUUUCAAACUUGGUGUCGAGCUUCCUCCCGCCACAAGUUUGCGGGGGUGUAUUGAGGAACCAAAGCCCAUUAAGACAGAAGCCUUGAUCUUAGAGUCUAAAGCCCAUAAAAUAGAUGAUACAAGCCCAAAUCAAGUCAUCUUGUCGUCAUCGACGGUUCUGUCUAACGGGAAGAAGAUAGAGCCGACAGUCAGUCAAUGUACGGCAAAGCAAAGGAAUCAAAUCCAGCUGGGUAACCGAUUUGAUGCUCUAGGACCGCGAGCUGUGACGUGUUACUAGCUCACUCAUGCACUGACAUUUUAGGGCUUUCGUCGCUUUCCUAUUUAAGGUUGUAACCCUCGACUGUAAAUCUUAUGUUGGAAUAAUACUGAAAGUUUUCCUCUUCAAUCUCUGUUUGUUACAAUAACUUCAAUGGAGACGAAGCUCUAUGAUUCCUAAUAUCUUCUGGGUUGACGGUAACAGUUUCUUGAUUUUUAUGUAACCUGAGAAUAUCAAAUUAUGGGUUGGAAUUGCGGUUUCUCGAUGCGUGCAUGCGUGGGCUAAGUAUCUGCUAUGAUUUGUUCGGUAGCAAACCUUAUGUUCCAUUGCCGAGUAUUCUCUAUACGUGCAAAUCCCUCAUGACUUUGGAACUUGAAGGACAGACUAUUCUUGUGGAUGUGCCUCAAACCGUUUUGUCUCCCUUACUUGAAGACCUUGCAACUUCGAUCUGUUAAAAUACUUUAAUUGAAGACUCCCUCCGACUGCUUCUGUCCCCAUUGUCCUGUUCUUGACGAUCUCUGUUUAUUGAGGGACAUGGAGACAUCGAUGACAAUAUGAGGGCAAUAGUUUUUAAAAUCCCGACUUUGCAGCGUUUGACCUAGCAGAUCUGUGAUCCUCCUUCUACGAAGCAUGUGAUCCUCCUUCUACGAAGCCCCUUCUAUAAAGUACUUCAAAAUCGAAGAUGAAGAAGAUGAUUCAUCUGUCAAACACCUUUCCUUACGUCAAUUAUUUAACGGUGUAGAUGAGUCUAUGUUUACUGUUGGCAUUGUCUUCAACCAGCUUGAACAUUUUAAGGUGUGUAUACACAGCGAAAACUGCUCCACUUUACUUCUCUGGUUGCUCAGAUAUUCUCCUAAACUGACAGUCCUUAAUCUUUACGUCGACGUUGAUAAUCAAGACUUUUAUGGUUAUUACCGUUUGAUUGGAAGAACAGCUCUGUUCCUGAAUGUUUGCAGAUUACUCUCGAAACUUUCCUGAGUUUUUUCUUCAAAAAUGCUUGUUGCUUGAAGUGUACAUCAAUCACUGAUCGUGUUACACAAUUAGGUAACAGAGACCGAAGGGAAUCACAUAUAUACCGAAUAGCACUGAAAGAAUGGAGCGGUCUGGUGACCUAAAUGGCAGUGUCAUUUGUAAAAUGAAAUGCAGUUUGUUCUCAUUGGUUGCGACUACUUGUUUAUAGCGUAAGGUGUUUAACAGAAUUUCUGAAUGAACUUUGAAGUAAGGUUUGUGUUUUCAUUCAAGUUUUAACUUGGGUUCUAGUUUAUAAAGUUACAUUCUAAGCAGGGUUUGUGGUCAGUCAAGUUUUAAACUUGUGUUCUAGUGUAAAAAGAUUAAAAGCUAGAGUUUGUUUUGGGUUUGUUUUGUUUUCCAAAAGUUUAGGUAGUUAAAUGAGUGCGGAAGUUUCUUUUCAACACAACUUGGUAUCUUCUUGUUUAAUCUGAGUUCUGCACGUAUUGGAAAUAGGCACGAGUUCGAUGA
This is a long non-coding RNA of Brassica napus (rape), 2109 nucleotides long. RefSeq lists it as uncharacterized. The transcript is spliced from 5 exons. NCBI's taxonomy places the organism in Eukaryota, Viridiplantae, Streptophyta, Magnoliopsida, Brassicales, Brassicaceae. The record is from RefSeq and is a predicted model, not a curated record.